RNAcentral lists this transfer RNA (77 nucleotides) under Bacilli bacterium. RNAcentral's name for it is "tRNA-Arg". It matches the Rfam family "tRNA". From Rfam's summary of the family: Transfer RNA (tRNA) molecules are approximately 80 nucleotides in length. Their secondary structure includes four short double-helical elements and three loops (D, anti-codon, and T loops). The record is from RNAcentral. Lineage: Bacteria; Bacillati; Bacillota; Bacilli.
GUCUCCGUAACUCAGUUGAAUAGAGUAAUCCCCUCCUAAGGGAUAAGUCAUCGGUUUGAGUCCGAUCGGGGACACCA